RNAcentral lists this ribosomal RNA (452 nucleotides) under uncultured bacterium. Its description in RNAcentral is "bacterial SSU rRNA". It matches the Rfam family "Bacterial small subunit ribosomal RNA", at positions 8 to 507 of the family's 1533-position model. The record is from RNAcentral.
AGAGUUUGAUCCUGGCUCAGAACGAACGCUGGCGGCAUGCCUAACACAUGCAAGUCGAACGAGACCUUCGGGUCUAGUGGCGCACGGGUGCGUAACGCGUGGGAAUCUGCCCUGGGGUGCGGAAUAACUCGGAGAAAUCCGUGCUAAUACCGCAUAAUGUCUUCGGACCAAAGAUUUAUCGCCCUGGGAUGAGCCCGCGUAGGAUUAGCUAGUUGGUGGGGUAAAGGCCUACCAAGGCGACGAUCCUUAGCUGGUCUGAGAGGAUGACCAGCCACACUGGGACUGAGACACGGCCCAGACUCCUACGGGAGGCAGCAGUGGGGAAUAUUGGACAAUGGGCGAAAGCCUGAUCCAGCAAUGCCGCGUGAGUGAUGAAGGCCCUAGGGUUGUAAAGCUCUUUACCCGGGAUGAUAAUGACAGUACCGGGAGAAUAAGCCCCGGCUAACUCCGUG